Molecule: non-coding RNA, 1616 nt
Organism: Solanum lycopersicum (tomato)
Lineage: Eukaryota; Viridiplantae; Streptophyta; Magnoliopsida; Solanales; Solanaceae
Source: RefSeq, a predicted model, not a curated record
AACUUUAGCAACCUUUUCCUAAGGCCCAAAAUCCCUUACCCUAAAUCGACGCAGCUUUAUUCUACUACUUCAACCCAAUUUCCCUCUAUAACUUGGCCCAAAUGUUACAAUAUUUCCUCCCAGACCACACCCUCUGACCCAACCUUUUUUCUAUUCAACAAAUAGAGGUCAGAAGCGUUAAUGAAAGCAAUUCUACGAGCCUCACACAAGGACACAUGCAGGAGAGUUCAGAGAAGAAGCGGCGACGCGCGAAGCAGCGCCAAACGACAUCCGUCUCCAAGCGUCAAUUUGACAGAAAUUAAUGUUUUAACGUUUCUUUCUCCAGCCCCAUAUAGCCCUCCUAUAACUCUUUUGGUUGUGGUAGACUACAGGUUCGUCUUUUUCAGCUUCAUUUCGUCCUUGCUCGCCUCAGUAUCGAGACACGUCAGGCAGCAAGGAUACAGAGAUCGAUAUCAGCCGUAUAUUCUACCUUUCCUUCUCCGGAAAUGAUUUGAAGAUUUCAGGAAAAAGGUUUUUAGCCUAAAUGGUGAAAGUUUUAGGGGUUUUGAAUUUCGAAUUGGGUCUUCCCUCUUAAAAGUUUUUGAUAGUUUUCCCCCAUUUCUGAACCCUAAAUCCCUCCUAUAUAUAUUCCCUUUCCUUCACAGAAGAGUGGGCUUUUUGUUAGGAUGAUUUUGUGGUAGAGGAAGAGGGAAAACAGGGAGAUUUUUGGUUUGAAAAUUAGUGUGAGAAAAGGUUGAAAACUUGUAUUGAUUUCCUUUUGGUUGGAAACUUUUUUUAAGUAAAACACAAAGCUAUUGGGAACUCAUAGUGACACUCGAAAAUACAUCUCUGAAUAAGAGAACCUCUCGGAUUUUUUCCCAAUUUCCUUUGGUUGCAAUCCGCAUUUGGCGUUUGGCCUGGUGAAGUUGUUGCUCUGCUUGAUCCAACUCCCGUUUCGCUGCACCCUAAAAGGGUACAGACGCUAGUUCAUUGAAUAGUUAUUUUCUCGUAAUGGACAAUAGAAAAAUAUCAUAGAGCUUGUAUUAAAUAGUGUUGUUAUUAUAUUUGAUGUGGAUCCCGCUUUGUUUAGUUGUUGUUUAAGAGCAUCAGUAACUCCUUUCGAUUUAAUGUUGUUAUUUUUCAUGCAAGUUUUUAUUUAUUUAUUUUUUUAGCACUUUGAUUGCAAAGUUGACAAACUUGGCAUUUGCUCUGAGAGUUAAUAACUUACUAUUCUUCAGUAAUUUGGGUAUCAUACUAAGAUGUUGAAUCCUAUCAUCUUUUAAUUUUUGCCUUUGUUUGGUUGCAUGUAAAUCUGUCCAAAGUUUUUCAUGGACUCCAAUCUUUCUCUUGCAUUUUGGGAGAUCCAUAAAGGCUUAAAAACCUUUCUUUCCGAGUCAACCAGCUACAAAACCGGUGAAGAGGUCCCGAAAGGAAGGUUGAAAGUCAUAGAGUGUAAGAAAUUGGACCAUAGAGUCCAAAUUUUUUUUGGAGUGUUAUAUUUCGUUAUCUUUGGUCCUAAGCCUUGUCAUUUUUUUCUAUACUUAUUAUUUAUUAAUCGUCUGAUUAGUUCAGGACAUGUACAAGACAGAAAGUGUCGAAACACUAGUCCAAACAGAAAGAAAUCGGAUUUGACCCAA